RNAcentral lists this ribosomal RNA (490 nucleotides) under uncultured bacterium. Its description in RNAcentral is "bacterial SSU rRNA". It matches the Rfam family "Bacterial small subunit ribosomal RNA", at positions 1 to 495 of the family's 1533-position model. The record is from RNAcentral.
GAUUAGAGUUUGAUCCUGGCUCAGGAUGAACGCUAGCGGCAGGCCUAACACAUGCAAGUCGAGGGGUAGAGGUUCUUCGGAGCCUUGAGACCGGCGCACGGGUGCGUAACGCGUAUGCAAUCUACCUUGUGCAGGGGGAUAGCCCAGAGAAAUUUGGAUUAAUACCCCAUGGUGUAUUAUAGUGGCAUCAUUUAAAUACUAAAGUUCCAACGGUACAAUAUGAGCAUGCGUCCCAUUAGUUAGUUGGUAAGGUAACGGCUUACCAAGACGAUGAUGGGUAGGGGUCCUGAGAGGGAGAUCCCCCACACUGGUACUGAGACACAGACCAGACUCCUACGGGAGGCAGCAGUGAGGAAUAUUGGUCAAUGGGCGCAAGCCUGAACCAGCCAUGCCGCGUGCAGGAAGACGGCCCUAUGGGUUGUAAACUGCUUUUGUCAGGGAAUAAACCUAUCUACGCGUAGAUAGCUGAAGGUACCGAAGAAUAGCAUUG